Molecule: ribosomal RNA, 253 nt
Filed under: uncultured bacterium
Lineage: Bacteria
Description: partial 16S ribosomal RNA
Rfam family: Bacterial small subunit ribosomal RNA
Source: RNAcentral
UACGGGGGGGGCAAGCGUUGUUCGGAAUUACUGGGCGUAAAGGGUUCGUAGGUGGCCAACUAAGUCAGACGUGAAGUCCUUCAGCUUAACUGGGGAACUGCGUCUGAUACUGGUUGGCUUGAGUGCAGGAGAGGAACGCGGAAUUCCAGGUGUAGCGGUGAAAUGCGUAGAUAUCUGGAGGAACACCGGUGGCGAAGGCGGCGUUCUGGACUGCAACUGACACUGAGGAACGAAAGCCAGGGUAGCAAACGGG